RNAcentral lists this ribosomal RNA (394 nucleotides) under uncultured bacterium. Its description in RNAcentral is "partial 16S ribosomal RNA". It matches the Rfam family "Bacterial small subunit ribosomal RNA", at positions 523 to 918 of the family's 1533-position model. The record is from RNAcentral.
AUACGUAGGGGGCGAGCGUUGUCCGGAAUGAUUGGGCGUAAAGGGCGCGUAGGCGGCCCGGUAAGUCUGGAGUGAAAGUCCUGUUUUUAAGAUGGGAAUUGCUUUGGAUACUGUCGGGCUUGAGUGCAGGAGAGGGAAGUGGAAUUCCCAGUGUAGCGGUGAAAUGCGUAGAGAUUGGGAGGAACACCAGUGGCGAAGGCGACUGCCUGGACUGAUACUGACACUGAGGUGCGAAAGCGUGGGUAGCAAACAGGAUUAGAUACCCUGGUAGUCCGCACAGUAAACGAUGGACACCCGCGGUUUGGCCUGUAUGGCUGAGCCGCCAAGCGAAAGCGUUAAGUGUCCCACCUGGGGAGUACGCCGGCAACGGUGAAACUCAAAUGAAUUGGCGGGG